AGAGUUUGAUCAUGGCUCAGAUUGAACGCUGGCGGCAGGCCUAACACAUGCAAGUCGAGCGGAUGAGAGGAGCUUGCUCCUCGAUUCAGCGGCGGACGGGUGAGUAAUGCCUAGGAAUCUGCCUGGUAGUGGGGGACAACGUUUCGAAAGGAACGCUAAUACCGCAUACGUCCUACGGGAGAAAGCAGGGGACCUUCGGGCCUUGCGCUAUCAGAUGAGCCUAGGUCGGAUUAGCUAGUUGGUGAGGUAAUGGCUCACCAAGGCGACGAUCCGUAACUGGUCUGAGAGGAUGAUCAGUCACACUGGAACUGAGACACGGUCCAGACUCCUACGGGAGGCAGCAGUGGGGAAUAUUGGACAAUGGGCGAAAGCCUGAUCCAGCCAUGCCGCGUGUGUGAAGAAGGUCUUCGGAUUGUAAAGCACUUUAAGUUGGGAGGAAGGGUUGUUUCCUAAUACGAAGCAAUUUUGACGUUACCGACAGAAUAAGCACCGGCUAACUCUGUGCCAGCAGCCGCGGUAAUACAGAGGGUGCAAGCGUUAAUCGGAAUUACUGGGCGUAAAGCGCGCGUAGGUGGUUUGUUAAGUUGAAUGUGAAAUCCCCGGGCUCAACCUGGGAACUGCAUCCAAAACUGGCAAGCUAGAGUAGGGUAGAGGGUGGUGGAAUUUCCUGUAGCGGUGAAAUGCGUAGAUAUAGGAAGGAACACCAGUGGCGAAGGCGACCACCUGGACUCAUACUGACACUGAGGUGCGAAAGCGUGGGGAGCAAACAGGAUUAGAUACCCUAGUAGUCC
RNAcentral lists this ribosomal RNA (791 nucleotides) under uncultured bacterium. RNAcentral describes it as "bacterial SSU rRNA". It matches the Rfam family "Bacterial small subunit ribosomal RNA", at positions 8 to 796 of the family's 1533-position model. The record is from RNAcentral.